This 492-nucleotide ribosomal RNA is filed under the name uncultured bacterium. Its description in RNAcentral is "partial 16S ribosomal RNA". It matches the Rfam family "Bacterial small subunit ribosomal RNA", at positions 29 to 507 of the family's 1533-position model. The record is from RNAcentral.
AGUGAACGCUGGCGGUAGGCCUAACACAUGCAAGUCGAACGGCAGCACAGUAAGAGCUUGCUCUUACGGGUGGCGAGUGGCGGACGGGUGAGGAAUACAUCGGAAUCUACUUUUUCGUGGGGGAUAACGUAGGGAAACUUACGCUAAUACCGCAUACGACCUACGGGUGAAAGCAGGGGAUCUUCGGACCUUGCGCGAUUGAAUGAGCCGAUGUCGGAUUAGCUAGUUGGCGGGGUAAAGGCCCACCAAGGCGACGAUCCGUAGCUGGUCUGAGAGGAUGAUCAGCCACACUGGAACUGAGACACGGUCCAGAACCCUACGGGAGGCAGCAGUGGGGAAUAUUGGACAAUGGGCGCAAGCCUGAUCCAGCCAUACCGCGUGGGUGAAGAAGGCCUUCGGGUUGUAAAGCCCUUUUGUUGGGAAAGAAAAGCAGCAGGUUAAUACCCCGCUGUUCUGACGGUACCCAAAGAAUAAGCACCGGCUAACUUCGUG